Molecule: ribosomal RNA, 236 nt
Filed under: uncultured bacterium
Lineage: Bacteria
Description: partial 16S ribosomal RNA
Rfam family: Bacterial small subunit ribosomal RNA
Source: RNAcentral
CGGGACGGGUGAGUAACGCGUGGGUAACCUGCCUCAUACAGGGGGAUAACAGUUGGAAACGGCUGCUAAUACCGCAUAAGCGCACAGUACCGCAUGGUACGGUGUGAAAAACUCCGGUGGUAUGAGAUGGACCCGCGUCUGAUUAGGUAGUUGGUGGGGUAACGGCUCACCAAGGCGACGAUCCCUAGCUGGUCUGAGAGGAUGACCAGCCACACUGGAACUGAGACACGGUCCAG